RNAcentral lists this small RNA (37 nucleotides) under Arabidopsis thaliana (thale cress). The record is from RNAcentral. Lineage: Eukaryota; Viridiplantae; Streptophyta; Magnoliopsida; Brassicales; Brassicaceae.
UUAUGAACACCCGAUCGGAUCUGUCAAGAACGAGCUG